This 201-nucleotide long non-coding RNA is filed under the name Nicotiana benthamiana. Its description in RNAcentral is "long non-coding RNA (NBEN_LNC007898)". Lineage: Eukaryota; Viridiplantae; Streptophyta; Magnoliopsida; Solanales; Solanaceae. The record is from RNAcentral.
GUGAUCUUGUCGAUUAGUGGUUGCCACUGGAGAACAGAUAGUUUCUUGGUUGAUAGUGGAACCCCUAAGUAUUUAAAAGGAAGAUCCCCACGUAUAUAACCAAGAUGAGUAAGGAUUUGUUGUUGCUGGUCAGGCUUUACUCCUCCAAAGUAUACAGCACUCUUCUGCAUAUUAGCUUUCAUUCCAGAUGCUGCAGUGAAG